This 468-nucleotide ribosomal RNA is filed under the name uncultured bacterium. RNAcentral describes it as "SSU rRNA". It matches the Rfam family "Bacterial small subunit ribosomal RNA", at positions 26 to 518 of the family's 1533-position model. The record is from RNAcentral.
AGGAUAAACGCUGGCGGCGUGCCUAACACAUGCAAGUCGAGCGGGGUAGCGAAUAACCCGAGCGGCAGACGGGUGAGUAACGCGUGGUCAACCUUCCGAUGAGUGGGGGAUAACUAGCCGAAAGGUUAGCUAAUACCGCAUACGACCUUCAAGCGGCAUCGCUUGAAGUUGAAAGGAGCAAUUCGCUCAUCGACGGGACCGCGUCCCAUUAGCUGGAUGGUGGGGUAAUGGCCUACCAUGGCGACGAUGGGUAGCUGGUUUGAGAGAGCGACCAGCCACACUGGGACUGAGAAACGGCCCAGACUCCUACGGGAGGCAGCAGUGAGGAAUUUUCCGCAAUGGGCGCAAGCCUGACGGAGCGACGCCGCGUGUGGGAAGAAGGCCUUCGGGUCGUAAACCACUGUCGAAGGGGACGAUAAUGACGGUACCCUUGGAGGAAGCCCCGGCUAACUACGUGCCAGCAGCCGC